RNAcentral lists this ribosomal RNA (293 nucleotides) under Bacillus safensis. RNAcentral's name for it is "partial 23S ribosomal RNA". It matches the Rfam family "Bacterial large subunit ribosomal RNA", at positions 2634 to 2925 of the family's 2925-position model. Lineage: Bacteria; Bacillati; Bacillota; Bacilli; Caryophanales; Bacillaceae. The record is from RNAcentral.
GUCCCUAUCCGUCGCGGGCGCAGGAAAUUUGAGAGGAGCUGUCCUUAGUACGAGAGGACCGGGAUGGACGCACCGCUGGUGUACCAGUUGUUCUGCCAAGGGCAUCGCUGGGUAGCUAUGUGCGGACGGGAUAAGUGCUGAAAGCAUCUAAGCAUGAAGCCCCCCUCAAGAUGAGAUUUCCCAUUCCGCAAGGAAGUAAGAUCCCUGAAAGAUGAUCAGGUUGAUAGGUCUGAGGUGGAAGCGUGGUGACACGUGGAGCUGACAGAUACUAAUAGAUCGAGGACUUAACCUAU